Molecule: non-coding RNA, 45 nt
Organism: Oesophagostomum dentatum (nodular worm)
Lineage: Eukaryota; Metazoa; Nematoda; Chromadorea; Rhabditida; Strongylidae
Source: Rfam
CCAACGGCCCUCUUUAGGGCCACAAGCACAGUAAUUCGAAUACUG